RNAcentral lists this ribosomal RNA (449 nucleotides) under Blastocystis sp. RNAcentral describes it as "bacterial SSU rRNA". It matches the Rfam family "Eukaryotic small subunit ribosomal RNA", at positions 477 to 940 of the family's 1831-position model. The record is from RNAcentral. Lineage: Eukaryota; Bigyra; Opalinata; Blastocystidae.
ACAAUGCGGAACAAUGUUUUGCAAUUGGAUUGAGAACAACGUACAAACCUUAUCGAUAAACAAUUGGAGGGCAAGUCUGGUGCCAGCAGCCGCGGUAAUUCCAGCUCCAAUAGCGUAUAUUAACGUUGUUGCAGUUAAAAAGCUCGUAGUUGAAAUGAAGGGUAGUUGUGUAAUGAAUACAUUCGUGUAUUUUGUUAUUCUACUACCCUCCUUCUAAAUUCGAUAUAUGAGUAUUAAUUUACUUGUAUAUGGUUUUAGACGUUUACUGUGAGAAAAUUAGAGUGUUCAAAGCAGGCAUUUGCUUGAAUAUAUUAGCAUGGAAUAAUCAUGUAUGAUUUUCAUGAUGUAUUUGAUUGGUUUGGUUCAUGAGAAUAAGAUUAAAAGGGACAGUUGGGGGUAUUCAUAUUCAAUAGUCAGAGGUGAAAUUCUCGGAUUUAUGGAAGAUGAAC